This 73-nucleotide transfer RNA is filed under the name Streptobacillus moniliformis DSM 12112. It matches the Rfam family "tRNA". Rfam says of the family: Transfer RNA (tRNA) molecules are approximately 80 nucleotides in length. Lineage: Bacteria; Fusobacteriati; Fusobacteriota; Fusobacteriia; Fusobacteriales; Leptotrichiaceae. The record is from Rfam by way of RNAcentral.
GAGCCAGUAGCUCAGUUGGCAGAGCAACGGACUCUUAAUCCGUGUGUCCAGGGUUCGACCCCCUGCUGGCUCA